UACGUAGGUGGCAAGCGUUGUCCGGAUUUACUGGGCGUAAAGAGCGCGCAGGCGGUCGUAUAAGUCGAAUGUGAAAGCCCCCGGCUCAACUGGGGAGGGUCAUUCGAUACUGUUCGACUCGAAGGCAGGAGAGGGAAGUGGAAUUCCGGGUGUAGUGGUGAAAUGCGUAGAUAUCCGGAGGAACACCAGCGGCGAAGGCGGCGCUCUGGGCCGGAACUGACGCUGAGGAGCGAAAGCGUGGGUAGCAAACAGG
RNAcentral lists this ribosomal RNA (253 nucleotides) under uncultured bacterium. Its description in RNAcentral is "partial 16S ribosomal RNA". It matches the Rfam family "Bacterial small subunit ribosomal RNA", at positions 524 to 776 of the family's 1533-position model. The record is from RNAcentral.